GACGAACGCUGGCGGCGUGCUUAACACAUGCAAGUCGAACGGAAAGGCCCCUUUUGGGGGUACUCGAGUGGCGAACGGGUGAGUAACACGUGAGUAACCUGCCCUUGACUUCGGGAUAACUUCAGGAAACUGGGGCUAAUACCGGAUAGGAAUCCUUGCUGCAUGGUGGGGGUUGGAAAGCUUCGGCGGUUUUGGAUGGACUCGCGGCUUAUCAGCUUGUUGGUGGGGUAGUGGCUUACCAAGGCUUUGACGGGUAGCCGGCCUGAGAGGGCGACCGGCCACAUUGGGACUGAGAUACGGCCCAGACUCCUACGGGAGGCAGCAGUGGGGAAUAUUGCACAAUGGGCGGAAGCCUGAUGCAGCAACGCCGCGUGCGGGAUGACGGCCUUCGGGUUGUAAACCGCUUUCAGCAGGGGCGAAGCUUGUGGUGACGGUACCUGCAGAAGAAGCACCGGCUAACUACGUG
Molecule: ribosomal RNA, 466 nt
Filed under: uncultured bacterium
Lineage: Bacteria
Description: partial 16S ribosomal RNA
Rfam family: Bacterial small subunit ribosomal RNA
Source: RNAcentral